RNAcentral lists this ribosomal RNA (1296 nucleotides) under Palaemon carinicauda. RNAcentral's name for it is "large subunit ribosomal RNA". The stretch from base 834 to 1228 matches the Rfam family "Bacterial large subunit ribosomal RNA", at positions 2049 to 2651 of the family's 2925-position model. The record is from RNAcentral. Lineage: Eukaryota; Metazoa; Arthropoda; Malacostraca; Decapoda; Palaemonidae.
UAAGAAAAUCUUAUUUUUAUUAAAAGGAUCUUUAAUAUUUUCAUAAAAAAUUAAUAAGUUUUUUUUUAAAGUAUCACUGAGAAAUUGAUGUUUAAGAUUAUAGUCUAUUAGUACUGAAAAGGAAAGUGUUAUUUGCAGGAAAGCAAAGUUUUAUUUUUGUACCUUUUGUAUCAGGGUCUAACAAAAUUAGCUGUGAAAUUAUAGAAAUCUCGAAAUAAAAAGAGCUAGGGGGUUUAUUUUUUCUUCGUAGUAAAGAGGUUAGUAAGUUCUUUCUAGUAAUGAUAUGUUAGUCGCUUUUUAUAUAUCUAGUUUUUGGUUAAAAAAAAUUUAAUUUUGCUUUUUUUUAAAAUUGAAUUAAAAAUAGAGAAUAGGAGGUAAGAGCUUCUUAUUCCCGUUUUGCUAGAAUGAUUUUAUUACGUUGUUAAGUGGGCUUAAAAUCAGUCAUCUUAUUAUAACGUUCAAGUAAAUCUACUAUAGAAUUUAAUUUAUAUGUUUCUGUUGAUUUUAACUAAAAAUAUCAAUUAACAAAUCCUUGUUAGUUAAAAUGUUUAUAUAAGUAUAAUUAUAGUUUAAAAGUAAAAUGAAAUUAGAUUAAAUUUUUAAUCGAUUUUAGAUGUUUAAAAGGAACUCGGCAAAUAUAAUCUUUACCUGUUUAUCAAAAACAUGGCUGUGUGGUUUAUUAGUAUAGAGUCUAGCCUGCCCACUGAGUUUUUAAAGGGCUGCGGUAAUUUGACCGUGCAAAGGUAGCAUAAUCAAUAGUCUUUUAAUUGAAGGCUUGAAUGAACGGCUGGAUAAAAGAGAAGCUGUCUUUUUUUCAAGUUAGAAUUUGACUUUUAAGUGAAAAGGCUUAAAUUAACUAAGGGGACGAUAAGACCCUAUAAAACUUAAUAAAAGGUUAAUUUUAACUAUGAAUUGUAUUUAAAAGUUGUGAAAUUCUCUUUUUAUUUUGUUGGGGCGACAUUGAUAUAAGCUGUAACUGUCUUGAUAAUAAAAUAGUUAUCACUAUAAGCUGAUCCUUUUUUAGGGAUAAUAAGUAUAAGUUACUUUAGGGAUAACAGCGUAAUUUUUUCUGAGAGUUCUUAUCGAAGAAAGUAGUUGCGACCUCGAUGUUGAAUUAAAAUUUCAUGCAGGUGUAGCCGCUUGCCGUGUGGGUCUGUUCGACCUUUAAAAUUUUACAUGAUUUGAGUUCAAACCGGUGUGAGCCAGGUUGGUUUCUAUCUUUUAUUAAUUUAAUUUAAGUCUUAGUACGAAAGGAUUGGGCUUUUGAGAGUUUCUUUUUUCUAGAUGAAGUAUAAU